UUCAAGAUGACUGAGUAGAAAGUAAGUGUUGGAUUUUUAAUCCAACCACGAUUAAUUAAUCUCUUGUUU
This 69-nucleotide transfer RNA is filed under the name Eleutherocaulis alte. RNAcentral describes it as "tRNA-Lys". The record is from RNAcentral. Lineage: Eukaryota; Metazoa; Mollusca; Gastropoda; Systellommatophora; Veronicellidae.